This 1048-nucleotide long non-coding RNA is filed under the name Cyanistes caeruleus (blue tit). RNAcentral describes it as "lncRNA (ENSCCEG00000021958.1)". Lineage: Eukaryota; Metazoa; Chordata; Aves; Passeriformes; Paridae. The record is from RNAcentral.
GACAGGUGCCCAAGAAAUAAGGCUCAACAGAUCCUGUAAUACCACAGCAGUUGUGAGGGAACACAUGCCAGCUUGCUACACUUCAACCCCUCCUGCCAGCUGGAUGGGCUACAGCCAUCCCACUCCCCUCCUGCAGGCCUGCAGCAUGUGGGAAAAGCUGUGCAACUCUUGCUUCAAGGCUGCAAAUCUGAUAGGACUCCAAACCAAAGGUGCCAAAAGCAUACUGGUCCCUUCUCACUAGGCACUCAGCUCAUGUUUUCAAAUUUUCCUCAGCAGUGGCUAGGAACUUUUCUCUUUGGUUUCCAAACAACUUUCUCAUCACACAUUCUAGGGGGGCAGGGGAUGCUAAAAUCCAACAUUGCAAGUUCUGAUGGAGGAAACAGCUGUACUGUCACAGCCUCACCAAAUGUCUUCGUGCUUUGUGUUUGUACCAGGUGCCUGGGACUUUGCCUCUCCCACACAGCAUGUCACUGAGACAGCAGGACAUAGGUCUGAAGGUGAUCAGGAUUUUAAAUUCAAGCAUUCUUAUUCCUCAACUCCUACCAGGCUGGUGCUGGCACAGGUCACCCCUCUGGGCAAUUUCCAGCCUCUUUUUGCCAGCUCUUUCUUUCCAUCAUCUGCUCCAGUGCUGCAACUUUCCCCAGCAUGACCAGGGCAGGUAAGAGACCAGCUGCACCCCUUCCCCAGCCUGGCAAGGCAAAGCUGACAGGCUUGGACCAAAAUGCUUGCUUUUGGCUUCUUUUAGACCACAUCCAUCCAGGGCUCUGAAAGUCCUUUUUAUCCCAGAAAUAAUGCAGCCCCCAGCCCCCACCAAGCAGGAAAUGCAGCAGGAACUACCAAGCUGUCGCUUACCCAUUAGAUGAGAUAAAAACACUUUAGUGCACUCAGAUUCUAGCCCAAGCAUGGCAUUUAAUGAAUGCUCUUGUCAUUUUUCACUUUGUUGCUGGUAAUUUGGCUGUCUUUGCAUGCAGGUGGCUUACUACAAGUGGGUAACUAAAAGCCUUUCAGAUCUCCUGACCCUGCCACAUCCAGCUCCCAAAUCUCAGAA